CCCUCCCUUUCAAACUCCCAAACAAAGCCUAAGAAUAGAAAGAAAAAUCAAUAAAUUUAUUAGAUUUCUCCUAUAAAUAUUGGCAUAGAUGAUUUGAUAUUCCAGCAAUUUUUGCAUAGGCACAACACUAAAUAAAAUUUAUUUGGACACACAUACAUGAAUGAUAAAAUUUAAAAGAGAAAUAAUUUAAUCACAUUACUUAAUAUCAUUUCUAUUUUAAAUUUUAUCAUCAAUCAUGUAUGUGUGUCUAAAUAUUUUUGAUUUGAGGUUGUGCCAAAUGAAAUAUUUC
This 289-nucleotide long non-coding RNA is filed under the name Medicago truncatula (barrel medic). RNAcentral describes it as "long non-coding RNA (MTRU_LNC004759)". The record is from RNAcentral. Lineage: Eukaryota; Viridiplantae; Streptophyta; Magnoliopsida; Fabales; Fabaceae.